UUGAGCAUCAAUUAUCAUUCU
Molecule: non-coding RNA, 21 nt
Filed under: Caenorhabditis elegans
Lineage: Eukaryota; Metazoa; Nematoda; Chromadorea; Rhabditida; Rhabditidae
Source: RNAcentral